Small nuclear RNA from Lolium rigidum, 159 nucleotides. RefSeq annotates it as U1 spliceosomal RNA. The transcript has a single exon. Lineage: Eukaryota; Viridiplantae; Streptophyta; Magnoliopsida; Poales; Poaceae. The record is from RefSeq and is a predicted model, not a curated record.
CUACUUACCUGGACGGGGUCAACAACCGAUCAAGAAGGGUUGUGGCCUAGACCAAUGGCUCACAUUGCACUUGGUGAGUGCGUCGGUCUACCAUCUCCCCAAGUGGGAGAGUGACGUCAUAAUUUAUUGUAGAGGGGUACGUGUUCGCGCUUCCCUGUC